This 255-nucleotide ribosomal RNA is filed under the name uncultured bacterium. RNAcentral describes it as "partial 16S ribosomal RNA". It matches the Rfam family "Bacterial small subunit ribosomal RNA", at positions 99 to 354 of the family's 1533-position model. The record is from RNAcentral.
CGGACGGGUGAGUAACGCGUGGAAAACCUGCCGUAUACUGGGGGAUAACACUUAGAAAUAGGUGCUAAUACCGCAUAAGCGCACAGCUUCGCAUGAAGCGGUGUGAAAAACUCUGGUGGUAUACGAUGGUUCCGCGUCUGAUUAGCUAGUUGGUGGGGUAAUGGCCUACCAAGGCAACGAUCAGUAGCCGGCCUGAGAGGGUGAACGGCCACAUUGGGACUGAGACACGGCCCAAGCUCCUACGGAAGGCAGCAG